RNAcentral lists this ribosomal RNA (493 nucleotides) under uncultured bacterium. RNAcentral's name for it is "partial 16S ribosomal RNA". It matches the Rfam family "Bacterial small subunit ribosomal RNA", at positions 30 to 523 of the family's 1533-position model. The record is from RNAcentral.
AUUGAACGCUGGCGGCAUGCUUUACACAUGCAAGUCGAACGGUAACAGGUUAAGCUGACGAGUGGCGAACGGGUGAGUAAUAUAUCGGAACGUGCCCAGUCGUGGGGGAUAACGCAGCGAAAGCUGUGCUAAUACCGCAUACGAGCUAUGGAUGAAAGCGGGGGAUCGCAAGACCUCGCGCGAUUGGAGCGGCCGAUAUCAGAUUAGCUAGUUGGUGGGGUAAAGGCCCACCAAGGCGACGAUCUGUAGCUGGUCUGAGAGGACGACCAGCCACACUGGAACUGAGACACGGUCCAGACUCCUACGGGAGGCAGCAGUGGGGAAUCUUGGACAAUGGGCGCAAGCCUGAUCCAGCAAUGCCGCGUGCAGGAUGAAGGCCUUCGGGUUGUAAACUGCUUUUGUACGGAACGAAACGGUCUGCCCUAAUACGGUGGGCUAAUGACGGUACCGUAAGAAUAAGCACCGGCUAACUACGUGCCAGCCGCCGCGGUAA